This 208-nucleotide ribosomal RNA is filed under the name uncultured bacterium. RNAcentral describes it as "partial 16S ribosomal RNA". It matches the Rfam family "Bacterial small subunit ribosomal RNA", at positions 568 to 774 of the family's 1533-position model. The record is from RNAcentral.
CGCGUAGGCGGCCUCUGCAAGUCGACUGUGAAAUCUCCGGGCUUAACCCGGAAAGGUCAGCCGAUACUGCAGGGCUAGAGUGCAGAAGGGGCAACUGGAAUUCUCGGUGUAGCGGUGAAAUGCGUAGAUAUCGAGAGGAACACCUGCGGCGAAGGCGGGUUGCUGGGCUGACACUGACGCUGAGGCGCGAAAGCUAGGGGAGCGAACG